CGUGAUGGUUUUGACCGGGGCUUCGCAGCCGUCCCAGCGACCCCUAUGUCCCUUUCCUCUUUCCCCACUGAUGCCUCAAUGUCAAUGGCUCAAUCCCAUCCCCAUGGCGGCCCUCCCAGCGCCCCGUCCUGCUGAUGAGCUCCUCCCCUCCAAGCCGUGGUCGUCUAGGACCAGGAAGAGCAACGACGCCUCAUCACCGUCAUUCCCCUACUUAACCGCGGGUUCACCAUCCUAGAUCCGCCCCUGCUGUUCACGGGCGAGCCCCCACGCCGGGGCUAGAGGAGCUGAUGAAGAAGCUGCAAUUUGAGGCGAGGAAGCUGCAAUUUGCCCCUUCCCUUCUUCCUCCCGAUCUCACUCCCUUUGAUUGAUUCGAACAUUGCCAUCCUGAAUAUGGAAGCAAUAAUACUGGUCGUCUAUCUCACAAAGGUAUCUCACCAUUUUCAAUUGUUUCAUCUCUCAAGUCGUGAACUACAAAUGGUGAUUAAAAUUUAGCAGCUGGUUUGCCCCAUUGAUGUGUUUAUUGUUGCCUCCUCCCGAUCUGGAUGGGAUGCGUGAGUUUGAUCUACCCAUGCAUGCACACCUCCAGAUUGAUUUAUGCGCUUUCUCCUAGAUCUGCUACUAAAACUUGAUUUUAGCAUCCAUCUAAUCCCUGGUCUAGAUCCAAUUGAUUAGGUGAGUGCAUGAUAAAGAAGCAGCGUUUUUCCCACACAGCAUCUAGAUCCAUUUUCGCUGCGCGUCUCCAUGGCUGCGGUCAGCAUUUUUCUGCAGUUUUGGCCGCCAUCAAGCGUUGUCUUCUCCAUGGGCUGACACGAUCUGGUAAAGGUUUUAUUUUGGAGCCACCAAUAGUUGAUGAUCUCGCGGCCGUCAAACGGCACGGGAUAUGCCUUUACCAGUGGCACACAUUACACAUCUUGGACAAAGAGCGUCGGGAGACCCUGAUGCUACACACCGUUGUUUCAAUCAUCGAUGAUCUUAUGUCUUUGUGCCAGCGGUAAUUAUCUAUCCUUUUUUUGGUAAAGCUUUUUAAAUUAUCUGUUUGAACAUUUGAAAUGUUCAUAUUCAAAGCAAAACAUUUGCAAUGUUAUCAUUAUAUUUAAAAGAAAAUAGCCACUGAAUUUGGUUGCAACCAGAAACUAGCCUCAAUUAUUUACAGUCUGGAGCACUCAUGCAGAAACAUAAUCUUCAUUUUUUGAUGGAACGGAGGAACGGUGGAGUGUUUCUGGGAACAGGCUACAUAUACAUUAUUUUUCGGUUUUGUCACUUUUCCCAUGCUAUUUUUGAUAGUUUAGUCUGUGCGGCAGAGAUGUUACCUUCCAACCUAAUCUAUUAAAUCACACAAAUAGUAUGUGACUAGACAUGUAAAUGAAUGCACCUUAGUCGGGUGGAAAACUGGCCAAUUAUACCACACUAUUUAAUUUGUGGCACAUUCAUUCGAUGCAUCUUGCCAAUUAGUAUUGGCAGCCAAACAUAGACGCCACCGAAACGUUGACCGCAUAAAAUCACAUAGGUUUUCCCCUAUAAAAAGCACUUGAGAAUAGAAUUAUAAGAAUAAAAAAGUUGUGACAAUUGUAGCUUCAGUUAGAAUUUAGAUCGUUUCAGAUGACCAUUCUGUACAAUCAGAUGCAACUUGAAAAAAUGGAAUAGAAAUAUCACAUCAGAGAGAUUAGAAUGAACAUGUUAUCAUGUAUGAAGAGAUCAGACUAGAAUUCUAAGAAUAAAAAAACUGUGACCAAACCGUUCGUAUUCGGUUCUGACUUCGUUUAAUAUUUACUAUAUCUUUAGUUACAAUUGUAUGCUGCCGAAAAAUAGUGUAUCAUAUGUCAGAAAAAAGCAAUUAUAAUAAAAAAAGAUUGGUACCCUUGGUAUUUUGAUCUUUUAUGAGUGAUUACACUUUAAUCUUUUCAAAAGCAGUUUUUUGUUUUACGCAUUAAAACGCCCUUGUGAGGAUGGUGCUUUAUGGUUUCCUAAAAACACACUCAACCAUAAGACAAAAUCUUUAUUAGGCAACUGCAUUUGGAUAAUAAUACAUAUUAGGCACCAUAUUAUCAAAAGAGAUGCAAAAUGGAAAUGCAAGGUGCUUUAUGUAAUUAUUAAGGCAAAUAAAACUAGAACAAAGAACAAGUAAUAUCUACUCACUCGGUCGCUAAUACUGCAAGUAUCAGUUACAAUAGAAGCGUAUUCGUGGGUUAAGAUCGAGAUUUACUGUCAAUAUUCCGUAGCAGAUGUUCUUCUUGAUGCAAUCAUUCCUUUAUAGUAAUCAUCCAAAUAGCACAAGACUGCAGGGUCAGAGAGUGGUAAAGCUAACUCCUUAACGUUUCAUAACUGAACUACCACUGCAAUUUGUGACGAGCGAUUCAUAAGCACUAAACAUGUAGGACUUCCAGCUGGUCUAUGUGCCUCGACGGAUGAUCUUGCAGACGGCCAGUAAUGCUUUACAGCUUAAGAUCAAUUCCAUUGUCACCACAAUACGAGAACAACACUAACUUAACAGCUGCAUCAACAUGAUUCUGUCCGGUGUGCCCAGCGCGUUACUUAUAGAGCAGAUAUUCAUCCAGCCUUAAGACAGAUUAUGUUGUGCCAUAACCUUAUGCACCUAUCUUUUUUUUUACUCACCAACAAUGGACAUAUUGAUUUUUUUUCGUUUGUUUUUCACAAAAUUGUAAAUGCAUUCAUCUAAUUUAGGCUCAAUAUAGGUAACCUGUUAUGUUUUGUACUCAGUCUUAGAGGUUCAGACUGCACGGAUGUGAGUGUAAUAGUGUAAAUAACUAAAUAUCAAUCUAUUUGUUUGUUUGAUUGAACCAAAAUGUUGUUAUAUAUGUAUGUGGUUGGUGCUACCACAGGUGAGAGAAAAUGUGGCUACUUGCUUGAGGCUGAGGUACCCAAAGUACACAUCUACUACUGUUAUACAAAGUAUACAAGAGCUAGCGGUUUGUGAGAGAUGAUUCUAAGAAUAAGAGCAGCAAGACAAGGAGCCCAAUGUGCAAUCAAGACCUGGCGAAGAUGUGGCGUUGAGGCUCAGGAUGGUUGAUCCAAUUCCCAAGACUGUUACUUACGUGUGAAAUUCUGUUUGAAUGUGUUUUUCCCCUUUUAGCAAGAUAUUAC
Long non-coding RNA from Lolium rigidum, 3102 nucleotides. RefSeq lists it as uncharacterized. The record is from RefSeq and is a predicted model, not a curated record. Lineage: Eukaryota; Viridiplantae; Streptophyta; Magnoliopsida; Poales; Poaceae. The transcript is spliced from 4 exons.